AACGAACGCUGGCGGCAUGCCUAACACAUGCAAGUCGAACGAGACCUUCGGGUCUAGUGGCGCACGGGUGCGUAACGCGUGGGUAUCUGCCCUUGGGUUCGGAAUAACUCGCCGAAAGGCGUGCUAAUACCGGAUGAUGACGUAAGUCCAAAGAUUUAUCGCCCAAGGAUGAGCCCGCGUUGGAUUAGCUAGUUGGUGAGGUAAAGGCUCACCAAGGCGACGAUCCAUAGCUGGUCUGAGAGGAUGAUCAGCCACACUGGGACUGAGACACGGCCCAGACUCCUACGGGAGGCAGCAGUGGGGAAUAUUGGACAGUGGGCGAAAGCCUGAUCCAGCAAUGCCGCGUGAGUGAUGAAGGCCUUAGGGUUGUAAAGCUCUUUUACCCGGGAUGAUAAUGACCGUACCGGGAGAAUAAGCUCCGGCUAACUCCGUG
RNAcentral lists this ribosomal RNA (433 nucleotides) under uncultured bacterium. RNAcentral's name for it is "partial 16S ribosomal RNA". It matches the Rfam family "Bacterial small subunit ribosomal RNA", at positions 29 to 507 of the family's 1533-position model. The record is from RNAcentral.